GAGCCCCACCUAUACAGACAUGGGGAUCCUGGCCAGAGCAAUGCUGUCUAACAAUACCAGGCCAGGGUCUCACUAUGUGGCUCAGGCUGUCCUUAAACCUGCAGCCCUGCCCAGCAUGUCUCAAGCCUAUAAUCCCAGAAUUCAGAAGGCUGAGGAGCUGCGCGGACUUCUGAGAUUUCUCCAUCCCAGCCUGCUGUGGGCACCCCCUGUCAUGCUAUGCUGUCCCCAGCACCUGAAGCUCCAACUGCAAGAAUACCAGGAAAGUCAGACCAGGGGGAGAAAGGACAGUGCUUCAGAAGGGAGGCCAGCUGGAUGGAGAUGCCACUGGAAUGCUCACUUGCUCCCUGCUCUGUGGUGGCUGAGGACUGGAUGAAAGUGGUAAGGGCAGGGACCCUAAGUGACCUUGCUAUGCCUUCCCUCCUCAUUUGCUCAAGAUGGUGGAAUUGGGAGAAGAACCAUCCGGGAGGCCAGCCUCAGCCCAACACGAGACCCCCCAGGCAGCCCUCCAGAUGUUUGUCGACAGCUUCCUUCUUGCCUCUCUGAGGUUGGAACCUGGGACAGUGCAAAGCUGCCUUUGAGGAGAGGCUUUUCUAGGAAGGAAGAAAUCCAGCCCGGAACCCCAACUGGGUCACCUUCCUUAGAAUGACCAAAACCAGGGUGGGUAAGAGGGCCUGUUGUUCCUAUCCCAGUCCACGGCGCUUCCUCGAUAGCCUAUGUCUCUCUAGACUUCUUGCUCUCUCCUCCAGUGCAUUCCGACAGCCCACACAACAGAGAACUUUGAGAAGAAAAACUGAGGGCAGAACGCACAAACUCAUCUUGCCCCAGGUCGCUCAGCCUUGACUGGUAAAUCUACCCUACUUGGAUGUGAACCCAGACGCCCUGCCUCGACACCCUCCUGAAGCCUUAAUCUCACAGUCAACAAUCACACAAUUCCAGUAAAAGGGUGGCUUUGGGUGGCGAAGCUUAUCCACCGUUCAUUCAGUCAACAUCAGCUCAGCACUGUGGGUCAUCAGACACCCCGCUCAGAGCUGGGGAAAUAAAGACUCCAUAAUAAGGAGGCUCGGAGCUGGGGAAACAAAAGACCAUGGAUCUACCCCUGAAGAGUUCAGUUGAGCAAACACUAUUUGUCAACAGACCACGACCAUAGCUAUGACAGCUGGGCUGAUCCACCUGAUACUAAUUUGGAGAAAUGUGGAUUCACAUUGGCUUCCCCUGACUUUCCUUUCCUUAAGGCUGGAAGCGUCUGUGUUGACUGGACCAGACUCAUAGGCCUAAUACCUUGACCUGGCUUGUCUCUUAGCUGGAGGACUUGUGCCACCAUCUGGGUUGCAAAGCAAGUGUCACCCUGGCAGUCCUACAGUACAGUAGUCAGACUGCUGUAUGCGCCAGGGGAUGUGACCAGACUCACAGGAGCAUGGAGGAUUCUGUACUCAGAACACUUAAGUGGGCUGAGCCUAAAAGAAGUGAGUGAUAGGCUAGAGCUCUUACUGUCUGGUUUCCAGCACCCAACAGCGGCACACACCUGGCUGUUAACUCCAGUUCCAGGGAUUCUGACGCCCUCUUCUGGCCUCCAAUGGCACUGCAUACAUACGGUGUAAGUAUAUCUCAGGCAAACCACUAUACAAGUAAAUAAAUCAUAAAAAGGAAAAAGAGGUGCUUGAGAGAUGGCUCAGCAGUUAAGAACACUGACUGC
Long non-coding RNA from Mus musculus (house mouse), 1693 nucleotides. RefSeq annotates it as predicted gene, 39714. Lineage: Eukaryota; Metazoa; Chordata; Mammalia; Rodentia; Muridae. The transcript is spliced from 3 exons. The record is from RefSeq and is a predicted model, not a curated record.